UUGCACUGUUCGUGACCUCUUGACAGCAUAUUUCUGUGAAUAGGUUCCAUUCCAGUGCUACAUGAAAUCCAAUAAUGGAAGGCUGACAAAUUCCAUGUCACUUCUGUAUUUGGAGACAAAA
RNAcentral lists this small nucleolar RNA (121 nucleotides) under Cathartes aura (turkey vulture). Lineage: Eukaryota; Metazoa; Chordata; Aves; Accipitriformes; Cathartidae. The record is from RNAcentral.